RNAcentral lists this ribosomal RNA (819 nucleotides) under uncultured marine bacterium. RNAcentral's name for it is "bacterial SSU rRNA". It matches the Rfam family "Bacterial small subunit ribosomal RNA", at positions 58 to 872 of the family's 1533-position model. The record is from RNAcentral.
CAAGUCGUGCGAGAAAGUAUCUUCGGAUAUGAGUAGAGCGGCGGACGGGUGAGUAACGCGUAGGAAUCUACCUAGUAGAAGGGGAUAGCCCGGGGAAACUCGGAUUAAUACCGUAUACCUCCUUUGGGAGAAAGAAGGCCUCUCUUUGAAGCUUUCGCUACUAGAUGAGCCUGCGUAAGAUUAGCUUGUUGGUGAGGUAAAGGCUCACCAAGGCGACGAUCUUUAGCGGGUCUGAGAGGACGAUCCGCCACAUUGGGACUGAGACACGGCCCAGACUCCUACGGGAGGCAGCAGUGGGGAAUAUUGGACAAUGGGCGCAAGCCUGAUCCAGCCAUACCGCGUGUGUGAAGAAGGCCCUAGGGUUGUAAAGCACUUUAAGUUGGGAAGAAAAGUUAUUGGUUAAUACCCAAUGACCGUGACAUUACCUUCAGAAUAAGGACCGGCUAAUUCCGUGCCAGCAGCCGCGGUAAUACGGAAGGUCCAAGCGUUAAUCGGAAUUACUGGGCAUAAAGCGCGCGUAGGUGGUUUAUUAAGUUGGAUGUGAAAUCCCCGGGCUCAACCUGGGAACUGCAUCCAAAACUGAUUCACUAGAGUACGAUAGAGGGAGGUAGAAUUCACAGUGUAGCGGUGGAAUGCGUAGAUAUUGUGAAGAAUACCAAUGGCGAAGGCAGCCUCCUGGAUCUGUACUGACACUAAGGUGCGAAAGCGUGGGUAGCGAACAGGAUUAGAUACCCUGGUAGUCCACGCCGUAAACGAUGUCAACUAGCUGUUGGGAAACUAUGUUUUUCAGUGGCGCAGCUAACGUAGUAAGUUGACCGC